RNAcentral lists this ribosomal RNA (447 nucleotides) under uncultured bacterium. RNAcentral's name for it is "bacterial SSU rRNA". It matches the Rfam family "Bacterial small subunit ribosomal RNA", at positions 331 to 797 of the family's 1533-position model. The record is from RNAcentral.
CCAGACUCCUACGGGAGGCAGCAGUGGGGGAUAUUGCACAAUGGGGGAAACCCUGAUGCAGCGACGCCGCGUGUGGGAAGACGGUCCUCUGGAUUGUAAACCACUGUCCCCAGGGACGAAGAUGACGGUACCUGGGGAGGAAGCUCCGGCUAACUACGUGCCAGCAGCCGCGGUAAUACGUAGGGAGCGAGCGUUGUCCGGAAUUACUGGGUGUAAAGGGAGCGUAGACGGCGAAGAAAGUCUGAAGUGAAAGCCCGCGGCUCAACCGCGGAAUGGCUUUGGAAACUUUUUUGCUGGAGUACCGGAGAGGUAAGCGGAAUUCCUAGUGUAGCGGUGAAAUGCGUAGAUAUUAGGAGGAACACCAGUGGCGAAGGCGACUUUCUGGACUGUACCUGACGCUGAGGCGCGAAAGCGUGGGUAGCGAACGGGAUUAGAUACCCGAGUACA